RNAcentral lists this ribosomal RNA (467 nucleotides) under uncultured bacterium. RNAcentral describes it as "partial 16S ribosomal RNA". It matches the Rfam family "Bacterial small subunit ribosomal RNA", at positions 28 to 506 of the family's 1533-position model. The record is from RNAcentral.
GACGAACGCUGGCGGCGUGCUUAACACAUGCAAGUCGAACGGAAAGGCCCUGCUUUUGUGGGGUGCUCGAGUGGCGAACGGGUGAGUAACACGUGAGUAACUUGCCCUUGACUUUGGGAUAACUUCAGGAAACUGGGGCUAAUACCGGAUAGGAGCUCCUGCUGCAUGGUGGGGGUUGGAAAGUUUCGGCGGUUGGGGAUGGACUCGCGGCUUAUCAGCUUGUUGGUGGGGUAGUGGCUUACCAAGGCUUUGACGGGUAGCCGGCCUGAGAGGGUGACCGGCCACAUUGGGACUGAGAUACGGCCCAGACUACUACGGGAGGCAGCAGUGGGGAAUAUUGCACAAUGGGCGGAAGCCUGAUGCAGCAACGCCGCGUGCGGGAUGACGGCCUUCGGGUUGUAAACCGCUUUCGCCUGUGACGAAGCGUGAGUGACGGUAAUGGGUAAAGAAGCACCGGCUAACUACGU